GAGGCGCCCAAAGGUUCCCUCAGCCUGGUUGGCAAUCAGGUGUCGAGUGUAAGUGCACAAGGGAGCUUGACUGUGAGAGCGACAGCUCGAGCAGGGACGAAAGUCGGGACUAGUGAUCCGGCGGUACAUUGUGGAAUGGCCGUCGCUCAACGGAUAAAAGGUACCUCGGGGAUAACAGGCUGAUCUUGCCCAAGAGUCCAUAUCGACGGCAUGGUUUGGCACCUCGAUGUCGGCUCGUCGCAUCCUGGGGCUGGAGUUGGUCCCAAGGGUUGGGCUGUUCGCCCAUUAAAGCGGUACGCGAGCUGGGUUCAGAACGUCGUGAGACAGUUCGGUCCCUAUCCGCUGCGCGCGCAGGAAAUUUGAGAAGACCUGUCCUUAGUACGAGAGGACCGGGACGGACGAACCUCUGGUAUGGCAGUUGUACCGCCAGGUGCACCGCUGCUUCGCUACGUUCGGAAGAGAUAACCGCUGAAAGCAUCUAAGCGGGAAGCUCGCUUCGAGAUGAGAUUUCCAGACCCGCAAGGGUGAGAGGCCCCCAGCGAGACCACUGGGUUGAUAGGCCGGAGGUGGAAGCACGAACCAACGACGUGUGCAGCCGACCGGUACUAAUACGCCGACAACUUACCCCACACCCCA
RNAcentral lists this ribosomal RNA (636 nucleotides) under Kocuria sp. SM24M-10. Its description in RNAcentral is "bacterial LSU rRNA". It matches the Rfam family "Bacterial large subunit ribosomal RNA", at positions 2303 to 2925 of the family's 2925-position model. The record is from RNAcentral. Lineage: Bacteria; Bacillati; Actinomycetota; Actinomycetes; Micrococcales; Micrococcaceae.